RNAcentral lists this ribosomal RNA (355 nucleotides) under uncultured bacterium. RNAcentral describes it as "bacterial SSU rRNA". It matches the Rfam family "Bacterial small subunit ribosomal RNA", at positions 8 to 350 of the family's 1533-position model. The record is from RNAcentral.
AGAGUUUGAUCAUGGCUCAGGAUGAACGCUAGCUACAGGCUUAACACAUGCAAGUCGAGGGGCAGCAUGGUCUUAGCUUGCUAAGGCUGAUGGCGACCGGCGCACGGGUGAGUAACACGUAUCCAACCUGCCGUCUACUCUUGGCCAGCCUUCUGAAAGGAAGAUUAAUCCAGGAUGGGAUCAUGAGUUCACAUGUCCGCAUGAUUAAAGGUAUUUUCCGGUAGACGAUGGGGAUGCGUUCCAUUAGAUAGUAGGCGGGGUAACGGCCCGACCUAGUCAACGAUGGAUAGGGGUUCUGAGAGGAAGGUCCCUCACAUUGGAACUGAGACACGGUCCAAAACUCCUACGGGAGGCA